RNAcentral lists this ribosomal RNA (465 nucleotides) under uncultured bacterium. RNAcentral's name for it is "partial 16S ribosomal RNA". It matches the Rfam family "Bacterial small subunit ribosomal RNA", at positions 338 to 795 of the family's 1533-position model. The record is from RNAcentral.
CCUACGGGAGGCAGCAGUAGGGAAUCUUCCACAAUGGGCGAAAGCCUGAUGGAGCAACGCCGCGGGGGUGAAGAAGGUCGUCGGAUCGUAAAACCCUGUUGUUAGAGAAGAAAGUGCGUGAGAGUAACUGUUCACGUUUCGACGGUAUCAAACCAGAAAGCCACGGCUAACUACGUGCCAGCAGCCGGGGUAAGACGUAGGUGGCAAGCGUUAUCCGGAUUUAUGGGGCGUAAAGGGAACGCAGGCGGUCUUUUAAGUCUGAUGUGAAAGCCUUCGGCUUAACCGGAGUAGUGCAUUGGAAACUGGGAGACUUGAGUGCAGAAGAGGAGAGUGGAACUCCAUGUGUAGCGGUGAAAUGCGUAGAUAUAUGGAAGAACACCAGUGGCGAAAGCGGCUCUCUGGUCUGUAACUGACGCUGAGGUUCGAAAGCGUGGGUAGCAAACAGGAUUAGAUACCCCUGUAGUC